This 410-nucleotide ribosomal RNA is filed under the name uncultured microorganism. Its description in RNAcentral is "bacterial SSU rRNA". It matches the Rfam family "Bacterial small subunit ribosomal RNA", at positions 509 to 917 of the family's 1533-position model. The record is from RNAcentral.
CAGCCGCCGCGGUAAUACGUAGGGUGCGAGCGUUAAUCUGAUUUACUGGGCGUAAAGCGUGCGCAGGCGGCCCGUUAAGACAGGUGUGAAAUCCCUGGGCUCAACCUAGGAAUUGCGCUUGUGACUGGCGGGCUCGAGUACGGUAGAGGGGGGUGGAAUUCCUGGUGUAGCAGUGAAAUGCGUAGACAUCAGGAGGAACACCGAUGGCGAAGGCAGCCCCCUGGGCCUGUACUGACGCUCAUGCACGAAAGCGUGGGGAGCAAACAGGAUUAGAUACCCUGGUAGUCCACGCCCUAAACGAUGGGUACUAGCCGUUUGGUGCGCGAUAGCGCUGAGUGGCGAAGCUAACGCGUGAAGUACCCCGCCUGGGGAGUACGGCCGCAAGGUUGAAACUUAAAGGAAUUGGCGGG